This 266-nucleotide ribosomal RNA is filed under the name uncultured bacterium. RNAcentral describes it as "partial 16S ribosomal RNA". It matches the Rfam family "Bacterial small subunit ribosomal RNA", at positions 87 to 354 of the family's 1533-position model. The record is from RNAcentral.
CUGUCUUAGUGGCGGACGGGUGAGUAACGCGUGGGCAACCUGCCCUGUACCGGGGGAUAACACUUAGAAAUAGGUGCUAAUACCGCAUAAUAGGGAAUACCGCAUGGUAAUCCUUUGAAAACUCCGGUGGUACAGGAUGGGCCCGCGUCUGAUUAGCCAGUUGGCGGGGUAACGGCCCACCAAAGCGACGAUCAGCAGCCGGCCUGAGAGGGUGGACGGCCACACUGGGACUGAGACACGGCCCAGACUCCUACGGAAGGCAGCAG